UCAUUUAGGCUGAGCUGGCUCAGUUGGUAAAGCAUAAGACUCUUAACCUCAGGGUUGUGGGUUCGAUCUCCACAUUAGGUGAA
Non-coding RNA from Podarcis lilfordi (Lilford's wall lizard), 83 nucleotides. The record is from the annotation of a GenBank genome assembly. Lineage: Eukaryota; Metazoa; Chordata; Lepidosauria; Squamata; Lacertidae.